UACGAAGGGGGCUAGCGUUGCUCGGAAUCACUGGGCGUAAAGCGCACGUAGGCGGAUUUUUAAGUCAGGGGGGAAAUCCUGGAGCUCAACUCCAGAACUGCCUUUGAUACUGGGAAUCUCGAGUCCGGGAGAGGUGAGUGGAACUGCGAGUGUAGAGGUGAAAUUCGUAGAUAUUCGCAAGAACACCAGUGGCGAAGGCGGCUCACUGGCCCGGUACUGACGCUGAGGUGCGAAAGCGUGGGGAGCAGACAGG
RNAcentral lists this ribosomal RNA (253 nucleotides) under uncultured bacterium. Its description in RNAcentral is "partial 16S ribosomal RNA". It matches the Rfam family "Bacterial small subunit ribosomal RNA", at positions 524 to 776 of the family's 1533-position model. The record is from RNAcentral.